This is a long non-coding RNA of Lotus japonicus, 2185 nucleotides long. RefSeq lists it as uncharacterized. The transcript has 9 exons. The record is from RefSeq and is a predicted model, not a curated record. Lineage: Eukaryota; Viridiplantae; Streptophyta; Magnoliopsida; Fabales; Fabaceae.
CCUUAAUCCCAUUUAUUCUAAACGCGUUUUCCCCUCUCUCAUAAGCGUAACAUCCUCACCGUUUCAACCUUCAACUUCAUCUCUUCCAGAAUUUCCUCACCGUCUUUGAUUUUCAUAUUCAAAAGCCCUUGAAUCCGAAAUCAACAAUGGCAAUCGUAUUUCUCAUGGCCACUUCCAAUUCAUGAGUCCUUCGAUCGCAUCUCUUAUGGCCCCUUCCAAUCGCAUCUUGAAGCCUCAAUCCAUCUCUUCCAGUCUCGACUCAGAGUCAGAGAGACAUCGGAGGAGGAGAUGCCACUCAAGGUCAAAUGGAGCGGCUAGGAUUACACGGUGCGAGUCUGCGGCGACGACACCAUUGUCGAACUCAAGCGUCGAAUCUGCGAGUUAACCAACGUUUUACCCAUUCGCCAGAAGUUCUUAUACCCUAAACUCGGUUCCAAGCUCAACGACCACUCUCUCAACUCUCUCUCAAUUCCUAAGUUCACCAUGAUCGGGACUAAUGAAGAAGAUUUUUUAAUUGUUGAUCCAGUGGAGGCCCCUGAGAUUAUUGAUGAUCUUGAGCUUCCUCAAGAAGAAGCUAUUGACAUCAAAGACAUGGAGGUCAACAAGCACAAGUUGAUCAAGCGCAAUAAUCAGUUCAAGUGCUUUGAAGGAGGUUUGAUCUUUCCAAAGUGAAAUAUGACGUGUCUGAUGGAAGUUGGAUCAAGCUUAAGAACCCAAGUAGCAAGAAGGUUUAAUCAUUGAUUCCCUCUUUGGUUUUGGCUUGCAGUUGUAGGGCUUGAGACUCGAUCGUGUCACCGUGAACUUCUGAAGCAUUUGAAACUGCUUCCAUUUUCAGAAAUUAUGUUGUUCAAUUCACUUGGUGGUCAAAUGGUCCUAAAGUUAUCACAUUAAGAAGGUUUACAUUCAAAGUGGAUUGAAUGCAAAGCCCUUGGUAAUUGAGAGAAAUGAGAUCGACAUUCAAGGCAUCAUCAACAUGGUAGAUGGCAAGCAAGAGUUGGGGUUGUGUUGCAGGGAACAAAGACCUUUAUUAGCUCCGAAGCAGAUGCCAAAGUGCAUGGGCUCAGUUUCGAUCUCGCCUAACCAAAGCUAAUAAGGUGUAUCUUGAAGGACUGAAACGAAUUGGGAAGGGUUGAUGUAUGUUGAUAAUUGUUUAGAGAGGCUGAAUAAUUACCUGCAAUUUUGGCAGCAAGUAAGGGAGAACCUGCUCAAACUGAUAAUGAUGUGUGACUGGAUUUCAGCUUGGAUGUGUGAUAGGACUGACUCUUUCAGCUUGGAGCUAAUGAUUGUCAAACUUGAUAGUAAAUUGCCAACUGUUAAUGGGAUUCUCUUAUCUUAGUGCAUGAGAGAGAAAAUUACAAGUCUUGGUUUUAUCCAGAAGAGAUGGAGAAAGAAAAUAUGAGGGAAGAGAGAGUUUGACUGGUGUGACUCCAGUGUGAGUUUUGUAGUGAGGGUUUUGGUUUGAGCAUGGAGAAAGAGCUGACGGUGGUUUAGGAGUGGUGUUGGCUGAAAAAUUCAAGUAUAAGCAUGGCAAUCUGACUAUGUGUUAUGAGCACAAGGUUCACAGUGGGCAAAGACACUGCAUGUGGUGUCAGUGGUCACCGCCAAGCUUUCUUCUUCUUGUGUUUGAUUUCUCUGGUGCAAGCACAAGGAAAAGAGAGGGGUGAUCAGUCACUGUCAAGGAUGGGGCUAUUUAUGGGCAAAUGGAAGAAGGCAUAGAUAUUACUCAUAUUUGUUUUAUUCUGGUACUCUGUUUUGUUAGUUUCAAAUCUUCAUUCCAAAGAAAAAUUUAGGAAAUAUAUAGUGGUAUUGAAUCAGACAUGUUCUUGAUAAUAGGAAAAUGAAGUUGCUUUAUUCUCUUAUUUAUUUAGGCAUUACGUUUCUAAGUCUCGGUAUUUUUCAUGCAGGAUGCUUCCAAUGUAUAAUACAUAGAUAUUGGUGGAAAAUUUCAUACCAAGCUAUCCACGAUUGUUUUCCAGAAUAUGCCAAAAAGUUUUCUGUGGGGAACACAUGACUCCAAUAUGCAGUUCCUAUAAAAGAGUUUACUGCAGCUAGAUACUAAGCUGAAUGAGUUGGUUGUGUUUCAUGUUAGUUGCCUAUUAGCUUAACUACUUGCUACUAUCUCUUUAUCUUUCUUGCUCUGAUGAAUUACUAUUAGUAUAUAAGGAUGUGUCUCCGAUUUCUGAAA